GAUGAAGAACGUAGUGAAAUGCGAUACUUGGUGUGAAUUGCAGAAUCCCGUGAACCAUCGAGUCUUUGAACGCAAGUUGCGCCCGAAGCCAUUAGGCCGAGGGCACGCCUGCCUGGGCGUCACACGUCGUUGCCCCCCCAUCUACUCCUUCGGGAUUGCAGGGGGCGGAUGAUGGCCUCCCGUGCGCCUCGUCGCGCGGUUGGCAUAAAUACCAAGUCCUCGGCGACGCACGCCACGACAAUCGGUGGUUGCGAAACCUCGGUUGCCCGUCGUGUGCGGUCGUCGCGCAUCGAGGGCUCGAAAAAAUUGCCGGGCUCCGGCUCGGCUUUCAACGCGACCCCAGGUCAGGCGGGGUUACCCGCUGAAUUUAAGCAUAUCAAUAAGCGGAGGA
RNAcentral lists this unclassified non-coding RNA (391 nucleotides) under soil metagenome. Its description in RNAcentral is "partial contains 5.8S ribosomal RNA, internal transcribed spacer 2, and large subunit ribosomal RNA". The stretch from base 1 to 122 matches the Rfam family "5.8S ribosomal RNA", at positions 35 to 154 of the family's 154-position model. The record is from RNAcentral.